RNAcentral lists this transfer RNA (58 nucleotides) under Argonauta argo. RNAcentral describes it as "tRNA-Glu". The record is from RNAcentral. Lineage: Eukaryota; Metazoa; Mollusca; Cephalopoda; Octopoda; Argonautidae.
ACUUUUAUGGUGUAUAGCACAAGAAAUUUUCAAUUUCUAGGAAUAAAAUAUAUAAGUU